Molecule: ribosomal RNA, 164 nt
Filed under: uncultured bacterium
Lineage: Bacteria
Description: partial 16S rRNA
Rfam family: Bacterial small subunit ribosomal RNA
Source: RNAcentral
UAGGGAAUCUUCCUCAAUGGGCGCAAGCCUGAUGGAGCAACACCGCGUGAGUGAAGAAGGGUUUCGGCUCGUAAAGCUCUGUUGUUAAAGAAGAACACGUAUGAGAGUAACUGUUCAUACGUUGACGGUAUUUAACCAGAAAGUCACGGCUAACUACGUGCCAG